Molecule: non-coding RNA, 45 nt
Organism: Aptenodytes forsteri (emperor penguin)
Lineage: Eukaryota; Metazoa; Chordata; Aves; Sphenisciformes; Spheniscidae
Source: Rfam
ACACAGGCUUUUUUUAAAGCCAGAUAUCCAAAAUGAACAAACACU